UUUGAUCAUGGCUCAGAGUGAACGCUGGCGGUAGGCCUAACACAUGCAAGUCGAACGGCAGCACAGUAAGAGCUUGCUCUUAUGGGUGGCGAGUGGCGGACGGGUGAGGAAUACAUCGGAAUCUACUCUGUCGUGGGGGAUAACGUAGGGAAACUUACGCUAAUACCGCAUACGACCUACGGGUGAAAGCAGGGGAUCUUCGGACCUUGCGCGAUUGAAUGAGCCGAUGUCGGAUUAGCUAGUUGGCGGGGUAAAGGCCCACCAAGGCGACGAUCCGUAGCUGGUCUGAGAGGAUGAUCAGCCACACUGGAACUGAGACACGGUCCAGACUCCUACGGGAGGCAGCAGUGGGGAAUAUUGGACAAUGGGCGCAAGCCUGAUCCAGCCAUACCGCGUGGGUGAAGAAGGCCUUCGGGUUGUAAAGCCCUUUUGUUGGGAAAGAAAUCCAGCUGGCUAAUACCCGGUUGGGAUGACGGUACCCAAAGAAUAA
This 490-nucleotide ribosomal RNA is filed under the name uncultured bacterium. RNAcentral describes it as "bacterial SSU rRNA". It matches the Rfam family "Bacterial small subunit ribosomal RNA", at positions 12 to 489 of the family's 1533-position model. The record is from RNAcentral.